This 1425-nucleotide ribosomal RNA is filed under the name marine metagenome. Its description in RNAcentral is "bacterial LSU rRNA". It matches the Rfam family "Bacterial large subunit ribosomal RNA", at positions 781 to 2193 of the family's 2925-position model. The record is from RNAcentral.
CACUUAUGUUGAAAAAUGAGGGGAUGAGCUGUGGAUAGGAGUGAAAGGCUAAUCAAACCCGGAGAUAGCUGGUUCUCUUCGAAAACUAUUUAGGUAGUGCCUCGUGUAUUACUGUAGGGGGUAGAGCACUGUUUCGGCUAGGGGGUCAUCCCGACUUACCAAACCGAUGCAAACUCCGAAUACCUACAAGUAUGAGCACGGGAGACAGACUGCGGGUGCUAACGUCCGUAGUCGAGAGGGAAACAACCCAGACUGUCAGCUAAGGUCCCAAAGUAUGAUUAAGUGGGAAACAAUGUGGGAAGGCACAAACAGCUAGGAGGUUGGCUUAGAAGCAGCCAUCCUUUAAAGAAAGCGUAAUAGCUCACUAGUCGAGUCGGCCUGCGUGGAAGAUAUAACGGGGCUAAAUCAUACACCGAAGCUACAGAUCUUAAAUUUAUUUAAGAUGGUAGAAGAGCGUUCUGUAAGCCGCUGAAGGUAAGCUGAGAGGCGAACUGGAGGUAUCAGAAGUGCGAAUGUUGACAUGAGUAACGAUCAAAGAGGUGAAAAACCUCUUCGCCGAAAAACCAAGGGUUCCUGUCCAACGCUAAUCGAGGCAGGGUGAGGCGGCCCCUAAGGCGAGGGCGAAAGCCGUAGUCGAUGGGAAACAGGUUAAUAUUCCUGUACUUUUUACAACUGCGAUGGGGUGACGGAGAAGGUUAAACUAGCACGGCGACGGUUGUCCGUGUUUAAGGUUGUAGGCUGGCGUUUUAGGUAAAUCCGGAAUGCUAAGGCUGAGGACUGAUGACGACCACUCAUUGAGUGGGAAGUAGUUGAUACCAUGCUUCCAGGAAAAACCUCUAAGCUUCAGGUUGUAAGGAACCGUACCCUAAACCGACACAGGUGGUUAGGUCGAGUAGACCAAGGUGUUUGAGAGAACUAUGGUGAAGGAACUAGGCAAAAUAGCACCGUAACUUCGGGAGAAGGUGCGCUGCGUUUGGUGAUGAGACUUGCUCUCUAAGCUGAACGUAGUCGAAGAUACCAGGUGGCUGCGACUGUUUACUAAAAACAUAGCACUCUGCAAACUCGUAAGAGGAAGUAUAGGGUGUGACGCCUGCCCGGUGCCGGAAGGUUAAUUGAUGGGGUUAGCUUAUGCGAAGCUCUUGAUCGAAGCCCCGGUAAACGGCGGCCGUAACUAUAACGGUCCUAAGGUAGCGAAAUUCCUUGUCGGGUAAGUUCCGACCUGCACGAAUGGCGUAACGAUGGCCACACUGUCUCCACCAUAGACUCAGUGAAAUUGAAAUCGCUGUUAAGAUGCAGUGUACCCGCAGCUAGACGGAAAGACCCCGUGCACCUUUACUAUAGGUUCACACUGGACUUUGAUUUUAUUUGUGUAGGAUAGGUGGGAGACUUUGAAGCUGAGACGCUAGUCUUAGUGGAGUCGUCCUG